UAUCAAUGUCCUGCUGAAAGGAUACAUUGGGGAGCUCGGUGAUCCAGGCCAACCUGGACUUGCUGGACGCCAAGGCCUUGUAGGAUUUCCUGGACCUGACGGGCCGCCAGGAGAUUCAUCUGAUCUACCAGGGCCACGGGGUCCUGAUGGACCUCAGGGUCCCAAAGGAGAUACUGGCGACCCAGGCUUUCAUUAUCCAGGACCCUCUGGUCCCGAAGGGGAUCCUGGUGAACAGGGUCCUCCGGGAGAUC
Molecule: long non-coding RNA, 251 nt
Organism: Hippocampus comes (tiger tail seahorse)
Lineage: Eukaryota; Metazoa; Chordata; Actinopteri; Syngnathiformes; Syngnathidae
Exons: 3
Source: RefSeq, a predicted model, not a curated record